GCAAGCUUUUUUCUCUCUCCAAAACGUGCUGUCAGUGUGUUCUAAUUUACUCUGUAAGGAAUUCUGGAGCUAAUCAUAGGCUCACAAAAAGCAGCACAGGAAAGUUUCCCAGAUAACAUCUAUUUCAGUGGCUUUCAAACAUUUUUGACCUUACCAAAGUAAGAAAUACAUUUUAAUAUCAUGGCACACAUACAGCUGUAUCUAAACUUUCAUAAUACUGCCUUUACGAUAUCACUCUGAUAUUGUCUAUUCUUUUCUGUUUAUUUUUCUUUUUGUUCCUUGUUAUGCUGGUUGUGACCCACUCCAGUGAUUUCACAAUGCAGGCUGGGUGGUGUCCCACAGUUUGAAAUCCCAAUCUAGGGCCUUCCUCUCACUGUACAAAGUAGGUAACUGGGGACAUUAGUGGAUCAGUGAUCAAACCAAAGUUAUUUGAUCUUACCAAGUGAUAUCAGGAUGAGAAAGCUGUUAGAGUGUCAGAUAUGUGAAGGAACUUGGGUCAUUCCUGAUACCUCAAAGAGAAAAAAGGUAGUCCUUGAACACCUCCUACUUGUAAAGGAUGCACAAUCCUACAUGCCCCUCCCUUUCCUUUCCUCCCCUCUGUACCCCACCCCUGCCCACAUUUUCUUCAUAAGCAGCUUUGGUGUUUUGGCUUGUUUGUUUCCCUUGUCUCCUACCUGUGACUUUAUAGCCUUUUGGAGACUCACAGCAAUAGUUGUAUUUAAACUCAAUGCAAAACUCCGAUCUCCACCUCUAUCCUCACAGACUGUAACAGACGCCUGACGUCAGUGGUCUAGACCUCUCUGCUGAAUGUCAUCUUUGGUGAAUGUCUUAUGAGAAAACACAUGUCCUUGUCCUUCAGAUGCUAUGCAGGAUGCCCUCUUUCCUGUCAAUACAAGCU
RNAcentral lists this long non-coding RNA (898 nucleotides) under Homo sapiens (human). RNAcentral's name for it is "HSALNT0340892". Lineage: Eukaryota; Metazoa; Chordata; Mammalia; Primates; Hominidae. The record is from RNAcentral.